RNAcentral lists this ribosomal RNA (253 nucleotides) under uncultured bacterium. Its description in RNAcentral is "partial 16S ribosomal RNA". It matches the Rfam family "Bacterial small subunit ribosomal RNA", at positions 524 to 776 of the family's 1533-position model. The record is from RNAcentral.
UACGUAGGGUCCGAGCGUUGUCCGGAAUUAUUGGGCGCAAAGAGCUCGUAGGCGGUUUGUCGCGUCUGCUGUGAAAUCCCGAGGCUCAACCUCGGGUCUGCAGUGGGUACGGGCAGACUGGAGUGCGGUAGGGGAGAAUGGAAUUCCUGGUGUAGCGGUGGAAUGCGCAGAUAUCAGGAGGAACACCGAUGGCGAAGGCAGUUCUCUGGGCCGUAACUGACGCUGAGGAGCGAAAGCGUGGGGAGCGAACAGG